GCACAGUAGUAGCUUCUUCUGUUUAUUUUAGAAAUCUUAGUUUAUAGGUUUCCUUUUCGUCUCUUGUACUAAUGUUCAGGGUAAUGGAAAUCUUGUAUGAUAAUCUGCACAUAGUUGAUACUAACAACAGAAUGAUGACAUGUUUGUUUUUGGGCAUAAAGUUAUGUGUUGAUCCUCUUGCAUUUGGAUUCCGGUCUUACCCUGACUAUGCGGAUAUGCUAUUCUAGGUUGGUUUUACGUUUCUUAUUGGAAGAGUGAGAUGCCCAGGACAGAAUCCAGUUUGUAUCAACGCCUCAUUGAAUAGAAUCAUGUAGAUUCUGCUUCAUACAAGCUUCAUAAAGAAAUAGUUUUAAGGGAGGACUUCAAAGAGUAUUUUGCCAAAUUUGGGAUGGAGGGCAGUCAGCAUCCACCUCGAGGCAGAGGGGUGGGCAGAAGGACGGUCGGUGUUCAACUCUCUACGGUUCAAAACCAAGUCCAUCCAAGCCUCAAAGUAUAAAGAAGGCGCCUAGACACUCGAUGGGUGGUGUAAACCGUAGGGUGUCCAUUGGUGGAGCCACGAUGCAAGCAUCCAAAACAGACAUAUUGUAUACGAAGAAUGUUCAUGCUGCCAAGAGAAGUGAAGACAUUGCCCAUUUGUCCCCUGGGUGGGCGUGUAACUAGAGAACAAAACACUAUGGCGGCAAAUGAGACUAUCGAACCGAACUGAUUGUACUGAAAACUAGGACCUAAACUUGUGUUGCUGGCCAACCUUUUCUUCAGGGAAUGCCAAGAUAUUCGCCAAACAAAGCCAUAGGAUGGUGCUAUACACAGAGGACAACCUAUCAGGGAGUCCACUAAUGACCAGAUGGGUAUCUUGUCGCUCAUCUACAGCAAGUCGGGCUCCAGUGUGUUUGGGUCAGCGUCCACGGAGGAGCAGAUAACUGACGACAUUUACGUUGCCGGGCUCACUAUCCUCACCACACGUGACCACAACCCACCCAACCGACUGUUACAAUGGUCAUGGAGCUUCUUGGAUUAAACUUGCAAAGAGUAGUACUGGAAAGCUUCAUUUUCGUAAGAUGCUCUGGUAUUUCCGAGUAGAAGAAAGCAAAGCCAACAAGGGUCGUUAGAAAUUAUUAGUACUCUACAAAAUUUGUAACACAUCAUAUUAAUUGGGAACUCAAAUCUUGGUUGCAAAAAUUAGAUCUGUGCUAUAAAUGCAGGCAAUACAAAAGGUAGGAAGACCAUACGAAGACCAAUACAAAAAGGAGGAUGCAUGAGCUUCAGAUCUGAUUGAAUUUAGUCAGAAGAUGGAGACUUGAAGGAGGAAUUAGUGGAGAAUGGGAAGGUGGAUAGAACAUGGGAACAAAUCAAAUACGUUAUUCCUAUGAGGGGAGUGAGUGGAGACAGAAAUGAGUGCACGUGGAGCAGCUGCUGCCUAUGAGGCGAGUGAGUGGAGACGGCCAGAUCUAUGCGGCGGAGGGGCUAUAGAAGCUUGAACGAAAGAUUCGUCGCCAGCAUCGGAGCAAUUUAUUGGGCAGAUCGACACUAAAUCUCCUGCAUGGACGUGAAGGCAUGUCUUUAUUAAGUUCAAUCUUUGAAAACUUGGCAUGUGACGCUGUGUAAAAAUAAAAGAUGCUAGAAAAUUGUCUCUGGCCAAUUUCGUAUGUAGCCGUGAGCAUUGCUAAUUUCUGUCAACAUGAACGAUAUUUGGUCUGUUUAUAUAGCUACCAUGUGCUGAACAAAUUGUCUGAUUAAUGUAAUACUCCUGAAUA
This is an RNA transcript of Triticum aestivum (bread wheat), 1754 nucleotides long. RefSeq lists it as uncharacterized. NCBI's taxonomy places the organism in Eukaryota, Viridiplantae, Streptophyta, Magnoliopsida, Poales, Poaceae. The transcript is spliced from 8 exons. The record is from RefSeq and is a predicted model, not a curated record.